GGUACAAUAUGUAGGCACUUGUAGUGGUAAACAAAUAAUUUGGUGAGAAAACCUAUCAAAGCGGGUCCGGGGUGAGGAUUGGCAGUGUGGAAGAAGGAAAAAGGCCAAGAUAAGAAGACAAGAGGAUUCACCAAAGAGGAUGAAAAAGAAAAGGAACAUGAGCAAAUACACAUGUAAAUCAUAGCUAUAAUAGAAUUCUAACGAAAGCUUGGAGUUAAUUUUGGAAAAGACAAUUUCAGGAAUUGGGACAGCUUAUAGAUGCAUAUCUCUUCAAGGUA
Molecule: long non-coding RNA, 278 nt
Organism: Saccostrea cuccullata (small rock oyster)
Lineage: Eukaryota; Metazoa; Mollusca; Bivalvia; Ostreida; Ostreidae
Exons: 2
Source: RefSeq, a predicted model, not a curated record